Molecule: ribosomal RNA, 373 nt
Filed under: uncultured eukaryote
Lineage: Eukaryota
Description: partial 18S ribosomal RNA
Rfam family: Eukaryotic small subunit ribosomal RNA
Source: RNAcentral
CAAUAGCGUAUAUUAAAGUUGUUGCAGUUAAAAAGCUCGUAGUUGAAUUUUUGCUUGCCGCCGAUGUCGGAACUUCCGUACGUUCGGCGGCGUGCAUCCUUGGGUGGAACCUGGGUGGCAUUAGGUUGUCGUGCAGGGGAUGCUCAUCGUUUACUGUGAAAAAAUUAGAGUGUUCAAAGCAGGCUUACGCCGUUGAAUAUAUUAGCAUGGAAUAAUAAGAUAGGACCUUGGUACUAUUUUGUUGGUUUGCGCACCGAGGUAAUGAUUAACAGGGACAGUUGGGGGUAUUCGUAUUCCAUUGUCAGAGGUGAAAUUCUUGGAUUUCUGGAAGACGAACUACUGCGAAAGCAUUUACCAAGGAUGUUUUCAUUAA